UUACAGCCAUAUCAUGUUGAAACACGGAUUCCCAUAUGAUUACUGAAGUUAAGCAACGUUGAUCCUCGUCAGUACCGAGAUGGGUAACCACUUGGGAAUACUAGGUGCC
Molecule: non-coding RNA, 109 nt
Organism: Acanthosepion pharaonis
Lineage: Eukaryota; Metazoa; Mollusca; Cephalopoda; Sepiida; Sepiidae
Source: the annotation of a GenBank genome assembly